Molecule: transfer RNA, 71 nt
Filed under: Marmota monax (woodchuck)
Lineage: Eukaryota; Metazoa; Chordata; Mammalia; Rodentia; Sciuridae
Description: tRNA.Ala
Source: RNAcentral
GGGGCUGUGGCUCAGUGGCAGAGCACUUGCCCAGCACGUGUGAGGCACUGAGUUUGAUCCUCAGCACCACA